Molecule: long non-coding RNA, 1229 nt
Organism: Poecilia reticulata (guppy)
Lineage: Eukaryota; Metazoa; Chordata; Actinopteri; Cyprinodontiformes; Poeciliidae
Source: RefSeq, a predicted model, not a curated record
UAUUUAGGUUAUACUGCCUGUGUGUCAUUUACUUGCAUUUUAUUGUUUGGUGUAUGCUGCUGUGAAGCCUGGAUUUCCCCACUGUUGGAUCAAUAAAGUCUCAAGUAAAGUACUUUUUCUAUUUCUAUUUUUAAAUGACUAUUUUAAUUCAGCAUUUAUAGUUGUGGAACACCUUGCUGUCUCAAUAAUUUGAAUAAUAAGAGAGACCAUUAAAUUAUGUCAUGAUAAUGAAGUCACAACGAGGAAAGACGGUGAUUUCAACAGCAGUUUAAAGCAAAAAUAAAUAGACAGAUUGGGGAAUUGGCCACAGCAAUAACAAAUUUUGGAAGGAAAAAUUAAAAACUCCGCCCGAACAGGGACUUGAACCCUGGACCCUCAGAUUAAAAGUCUGAUGCUCUACCGACUGAGCUAUCCGGGCUCUGCAUUCCAGAGGCGGAAGCACCCUUUAUAAGGCAGAACCAUACGUCACACGUUAACACCUUUUAUUGUUGUACGGCGAAACAACACCUCGACUGCAAUGACAGCAUUUUCUGACCGUACAUUUUUCCAAGAGAAAAAUACAUCUGUACGUUGACUUGGUGUAAAAUUUAAGGUUGAUAAGGCGUUCAACACGAAAAUUGUUUGAGAAAAAAAACACAUACGCUUUUCUCUUGUAACAAAUUAAGGACCUGGCGCGUGCUAUCAGUGAAACCACUCAGAAACUGGAGGAGGUGCGGCAGGAAAGACUACGUCUCGAGGAGGAAACCGCUCGCUGAGUCUGCUGAUCAGGCAAAGUAAUGAAGCACAGCAGGGUCCUGGUUUUAUAGCUUCAAACAUUUUAAGUCUUUGUGUAAUUACUCAGCCCUCACCUGGGUUUUGAUCUCUGUUCUCAUCUGCAGCAAAAAAGAAACUGAGCAGAGAAUGAAGUUUAUGAUGGAAAAUGGUGCAAUAGGUAAUGCAUUGCACCAACUAGGCAAGCUCCUAUCAAAGGAAAAGCAUCUCUCAGAACAUCUGGAUCAACAGGCUGCCUCACACAGAAAUAAAAUUUGUAUUUUGGAGGAGCAGCUCAAGAGUGCCUCAAGUAAGGUCCAAAGUCUUACUGCUGAAAUCCUGGAGGUGGAAGAUCGCUUGGCAGAGCUCAAAGCUUGUGACGGUGCAGGACAAGCUUCAAGUCCUGUGGCAACCAGAAAGUCAAAAAGAAAAACAAUAAAAAAGUAAAUUGUUUCCAGGGACAGUUAUUUUCUUUUAAU